AAUGAGCAAAGUCAGAAUUUGCUUCUUUCCCAUUUGUUGCUCAAUUGUUUCACUAAUCUUCACAUCUUCUAACAAGUUUAUGUUUAUCAAUCCACAUGACAAUCUUUCUUCUUCUUUCAAGUUCUAGCAGCAACUCAGCAAGUAAGUUAGUAAGUACAACCAUAAAGUUCGACCGCUAAAGAAACACCACCACCGUACCACCACUACAGAAAACACCUCUACCGUCUUUCGUGGUUUUUGUUCUUGCCGAAACCGCAUAAGACCAAACUCUUGAAACUUGCUUUCGCGAAUACCCAAACAAUGAAGGUCGAUCUAAUGACGGAGGCUAAGAGUUCGAAUGAUGAUUAUUGGAGAAUGAGUGAGAUGAUUUGAUUAUGGAUGAUCCAAUGAGGUAAUAUUUAUGUCUAGCAACUGUAUUUAGUCUCGUAUGAGUGACAAUUAUGUCUGGUAAUUAUGAGUGCACGUAUGUAAUUUUAAUGUCAUGUUAUUGUAUCAUAUGUAUGUUCGUAUAAUAUGUUUGACAUUUUAUGAUUUAAAAGCAUGUUAUGUGCAAAAGACAUGAUAUACGAUCCCUUUUAAAUAAACGUAAACAUAAUCUGAUAUGAAAUCAUAUUUAUGGACUAAUGCUAUUGCUAAUAUAGGUAGUCCCCUUCAAAAUGCAUUUAUGAAUGUAUGAUUGUCUCAUUUCGACGAUAUGUAUAUAUAUGUGUGUGUGUUUCAAUCAUAUGAUUUUAUAUGAAUGAUUUUGUGAAUAUACGAUGUUUAUUAAUCUUUGGAUCUCAUGAAAGUAUAUUAUUAAUCUAUGAAUAAAUUAUGUAAAAGCUACACAACAUAAUAAAUAAAAGUGAAAGACCUAGUUUGUGUGGCAGUAUAUGUUAUGUUUUGAUCAUGCAAUGCAUGUACCCAUGGGGCACGGCCCAAUUAUGUCAAGCACCUGCUCUAUGUUAUGGGCACCUGCCCAUCGCGGAAGACGUUCCGCAAUGUCAUACUAUCCAGCGACUAGCAUGUUAAUCAAAAGGUUAUAAAUACAUGAAUUCUAUUAAAGGAUUUUAUGAGAACUCAUAAAGAUAUUGUAUUGAUGAGUUCUAUGAUAUAAUAAAAUGUAUGAUUGAUUGUAAAAUGUCUUACCAUUUUACAAGAUACUAUGAAUGAUUGUUGUUCUUGCUUCUCUUUUAACUUAUAAGAAAUGUAAACAUGAUCUGUUAUGACUGUGCAAUGGCUCUCUCCUGAGGGCACUGGCCCAUUCCUGAUUGGAGCAAUGGCUCCUCCUGACAUGUAAGGAGCACUGGCUUCCCCCCUGUAAGGAGCACUAGCUCCCCCCGAUAGUAGGAGACCUGUUAAAUGUUUAACGAAUCUGAUGAUUUUAUUUAUUUAAGUGUUAUGAAUGAAUGAUUAUGAAAUGUGCCAAUGUACUAUGAAUUUGUAUGAGGUAUAAAGUUGUUCGGAAAUGAUUUAAUAUGAUACGAUGCUACUUUUGUCGGCAUUGGAAAAUGAAUUGAACUAGGUAAAUGAGUAAGUCAUAGGUGGAGGAAAGUAUGUUAAUGAAAUGGGGAACUGUAACCCCACACAAAUGAAAGUUAUAUUAUGUCAAAAACCUGUACUUACCGAUGGUCCUAAGUAAAGGGAAUGAUCCUUGCCGACACAAGUUUAAAGAUAAUGAUACUAAAUUAUUUCUAAGCAAUUAUGUAUAUAUGAUAUGUGCUUAAAUGAUUUUGAAAGAAAAACUGUUUUGCGGGCUAGAGUAAUGUUACUGAGUUUUCCACUCAUUUUUGGAAUUUUUCCUAUGUUUUCUCUGUUUUCUAUUUAUGGAUAUUUACAGAAAUGAUGAUGACAGAGCUAAGUUAGUCAAAGGUAAAGUGAUUUAUGGAAUUUGUAUUAUUGAGGAAUUAUAGAAUCAGAGCCAAGAGUUUAUGUAUUAUAGAUUAUGAUUUAUCGAGAGACGGAUUAUUAUUUUUAUUUCUUGAAGUUGUAUUAUUAUUUUAAGGGAAUGUUUAUUAUUUAGGAGUAUGUUUAUUUGUGGGCUAAUAACUCACAAGAGGUUAUGAGAUUUAUCUAUGAUUGUUUCUGCUGCGUAUGACGAGUUAUGUAUGGUUUAGUAAUGUCAAUUAAGGUUACGAGAAGUUGAGGGCGUUACACAAUUACUGGAAAAAUCACCAAAAUAGCUCCGAAACUCGAAAUUGUAAGUUUUUUUGUUCAUUUUUUGGAAUGAAAAAUAAAUAUGAACCCUAACUUUUACUAG
Molecule: long non-coding RNA, 2239 nt
Organism: Chenopodium quinoa (quinoa)
Lineage: Eukaryota; Viridiplantae; Streptophyta; Magnoliopsida; Caryophyllales; Amaranthaceae
Exons: 2
Source: RefSeq, a predicted model, not a curated record